This 1530-nucleotide ribosomal RNA is filed under the name Salmonella enterica subsp. enterica. Its description in RNAcentral is "bacterial SSU rRNA". It matches the Rfam family "Bacterial small subunit ribosomal RNA". The record is from RNAcentral. Lineage: Bacteria; Pseudomonadati; Pseudomonadota; Gammaproteobacteria; Enterobacterales; Enterobacteriaceae.
AGAGUUUGAUCAUGGCUCAGAUUGAACGCUGGCGGCAGGCCUAACACAUGCAAGUCGAACGGUAACAGGAAGCAGCUUGCUGCUUUGCUGACGAGUGGCGGACGGGUGAGUAAUGUCUGGGAAGCUGCCUGAUGGAGGGGGAUAACUACUGGAAACGGUGGCUAAUACCGCAUAACGUCGCAAGACCAAAGAGGGGGACCUUCGGGCCUCUUGCCAUCAGAUGUGCCCAGAUGGGAUUAGCUUGUUGGUGAGGUAACGGCUCACCAAGGCGACGAUCCCUAGCUGGUCUGAGAGGAUGACCAGCCACACUGGAACUGAGACACGGUCCAGACUCCUACGGGAGGCAGCAGUGGGGAAUAUUGCACAAUGGGCGCAAGCCUGAUGCAGCCAUGCCGCGUGUAUGAAGAAGGCCUUCGGGUUGUAAAGUACUUUCAGCGGGGAGGAAGGUGUUGUGGUUAAUAACCACAGCAAUUGACGUUACCCGCAGAAGAAGCACCGGCUAACUCCGUGCCAGCAGCCGCGGUAAUACGGAGGGUGCAAGCGUUAAUCGGAAUUACUGGGCGUAAAGCGCACGCAGGCGGUCUGUCAAGUCGGAUGUGAAAUCCCCGGGCUCAACCUGGGAACUGCAUUCGAAACUGGCAGGCUUGAGUCUUGUAGAGGGGGGUAGAAUUCCAGGUGUAGCGGUGAAAUGCGUAGAGAUCUGGAGGAAUACCGGUGGCGAAGGCGGCCCCCUGGACAAAGACUGACGCUCAGGUGCGAAAGCGUGGGGAGCAAACAGGAUUAGAUACCCUGGUAGUCCACGCCGUAAACGAUGUCUACUUGGAGGUUGUGCCCUUGAGGCGUGGCUUCCGGAGCUAACGCGUUAAGUAGACCGCCUGGGGAGUACGGCCGCAAGGUUAAAACUCAAAUGAAUUGACGGGGGCCCGCACAAGCGGUGGAGCAUGUGGUUUAAUUCGAUGCAACGCGAAGAACCUUACCUGGUCUUGACAUCCACAGAACUUUCCAGAGAUGGAUUGGUGCCUUCGGGAACUGUGAGACAGGUGCUGCAUGGCUGUCGUCAGCUCGUGUUGUGAAAUGUUGGGUUAAGUCCCGCAACGAGCGCAACCCUUAUCCUUUGUUGCCAGCGGUCCGGCCGGGAACUCAAAGGAGACUGCCAGUGAUAAACUGGAGGAAGGUGGGGAUGACGUCAAGUCAUCAUGGCCCUUACGACCAGGGCUACACACGUGCUACAAUGGCGCAUACAAAGAGAAGCGACCUCGCGAGAGCAAGCGGACCUCAUAAAGUGCGUCGUAGUCCGGAUUGGAGUCUGCAACUCGACUCCAUGAAGUCGGAAUCGCUAGUAAUCGUGGAUCAGAAUGCCACGGUGAAUACGUUCCCGGGCCUUGUACACACCGCCCGUCACACCAUGGGAGUGGGUUGCAAAAGAAGUAGGUAGCUUAACCUUCGGGAGGGCGCUUACCACUUUGUGAUUCAUGACUGGGGUGAAGUCGUAACAAGGUAACCGUAGGGGAACCUGCGGUUGGAUCACCU